AAUGAACGUUGGCGGCGUGGAUUAGGCAUGCAAGUCGCGCGAGAAGUUUCCUUCGGGAGACGGACAGCGGCGGAAGGGAGAGGAAUAAGUAGAAAUCUGCCCUCGGGACGGGGAUAGCGGCGGGAAACUGCCGGUAAUACCCGAUAACAUCUUUGGAUCAAAUGGCGUGAUUCCGCCUGAGGAUGAGUCUACUUCCUAUUAGCUAGUUGGUGUGGUAAUGGCUCACCAAGGCAACGAUGGGUGGCGGGUGUGAGAGCACGAUCCGCCUCACUGGGACUGAGACACUGCCCAGACACCUACGGGUGGCUGCAGUCGAGAAUCUUCGGCAAUGGGGGAAACCCUGACCGAGCGACGCCGCGUGCGGGAUGAAGGCCCUCGGGUUGUAAACCGCUGUCGUAAGGGAACAAUCUAAGAGGGUACUCCCUUUUAGUUGAGUGAUCUUAGGAGGAAGGACGGGCUAAGUUCGUG
RNAcentral lists this ribosomal RNA (468 nucleotides) under uncultured bacterium. Its description in RNAcentral is "bacterial SSU rRNA". It matches the Rfam family "Bacterial small subunit ribosomal RNA", at positions 29 to 507 of the family's 1533-position model. The record is from RNAcentral.